CCUACGGGAGGCAGCAGUGAGGAAUAUUGGUCAAUGGACGAGAGUCUGAACCAGCCAAUUAGCGUGAAGGAUGACUGCCCUAUGGGUGGUAAACUUCUUUUAUAUGGGAAUAAAAUGUUCCACGUUUGGGAUUUUGUAUGUACCAUAUGAAUAAGAAUCGGCUAACUCCGUGCCAGCAGCCGCGGUAAUACGGAGGAUCCGAGCGUUAUCCGGAUUUAUUGGGUGUAAGGGGAGCGUAGGUGGAUUGUUAAGUCAGUUGUGAAAGUUUGCGGCUCAACCGUAAAAUUGCAGUUGAAACUGGCAGUCUUGAGUACAGUAGAGGUGGGCGGAAUUCGUGGUGUAGCGGUGAAAUGCUUAGAUAUCACGAAGAACUCCGAUUGCGAAGGCAGCUCACUGGACUGCAACUGACACUGAGGCUCGAAAGUGUGGGUAUCAAACAGGAUUAGAUACCCUUGUAGUC
RNAcentral lists this ribosomal RNA (460 nucleotides) under uncultured bacterium. RNAcentral's name for it is "partial 16S ribosomal RNA". It matches the Rfam family "Bacterial small subunit ribosomal RNA", at positions 338 to 795 of the family's 1533-position model. The record is from RNAcentral.